GAUCAUGGCUCAGGACGAACGCUGGCGGCGCGCCUAACACAUGCAAGUCGAACGGGGUUAUACGGGAUGAAGUUUUCGGAUGGAAUUCUAUAUAACCUAGUGGCGGACGGGUGAGUAACACGUGAGCAACCUGCCUAGUCAGAGGGGGAUAACGAUUGGAAACGAUCGCUAAUACCGCAUGACAUAGCGAAGAGGCAUCUUUUUGCUAUCAAAGAUUUAUCGCUGAUAGAUGGG
Molecule: ribosomal RNA, 234 nt
Filed under: uncultured bacterium
Lineage: Bacteria
Description: partial 16S ribosomal RNA
Rfam family: Bacterial small subunit ribosomal RNA
Source: RNAcentral